ACAAAAAAAUAACACGUGGAUAACCUACCUAUAAGACUGGGAUAACUUCGGGACACCGGAGCUAAUACCGGAUGAUAUUUUGAACCGCAUGGUUCAACAGUGAAAGACGCUCUUGCUGUCACUUAUAGAUGGAUCCGCGCUGCAUUAGCUAGUUGUUAAUGUAACGGCUUACCAAGCCAACGAUGCAUAGCCGACCUGAGAGGGUGAUCGGCCAAACUGGAACUGAGACACGGUCCAGACGCCUACGGGAGGCAGCAGUAGGGAAUCUUCCGCAAUGGGCGAAAGCCUGACGGAGCAACGCCGAGUGAGUGAUGAAGGUCUUCGUUUUGUAAAAUGAUGCGGCGACCACAGAAAACUAGACCAAAAC
RNAcentral lists this ribosomal RNA (367 nucleotides) under uncultured bacterium. RNAcentral describes it as "partial 16S ribosomal RNA". It matches the Rfam family "Bacterial small subunit ribosomal RNA", at positions 100 to 463 of the family's 1533-position model. The record is from RNAcentral.